This 464-nucleotide ribosomal RNA is filed under the name uncultured bacterium. RNAcentral's name for it is "bacterial SSU rRNA". It matches the Rfam family "Bacterial small subunit ribosomal RNA", at positions 30 to 486 of the family's 1533-position model. The record is from RNAcentral.
AUUGAACGCUGGCGGCAUGCCUUACACAUGCAAGUCGAACGGCAGCACGGGAGCAAUCCUGGUGGCGAGUGGCGAACGGGUGAGUAAUAUAUCGGAACGUGCCCAGUCGUGGGGGAUAACGUAGCGAAAGCUACGCUAAUACCGCAUACGAUCUAUGGAUGAAAGCGGGGGAUCGCAAGACCUCGCGCGAUUGGAGCGGCCGAUAUCAGAUUAGGUAGUUGGUGGGGUAAAAGCCUACCAAGCCUUCGAUCUGUAGCUGGUCUGAGAGGACGACCAGCCACACUGGAACUGAGACACGGUCCAGACUCCUACGGGAGGCAGCAGUGGGGAAUUUUGGACAAUGGGCGCAAGCCUGAUCCAGCAAUGCCGCGUGCAGGAUGAAGGCCUUCGGUUGUAACUAGCUUUGUUACGGAACGAAACGGUUACUUUCUAAUUACAGAGAGCUAAUGACGGUACCGUAAGAA